CAGUCGCCACGGUAAUACGUAGGGUGCAAGCGUUAAUCGGAAUUACUGGGCGUAAAGCGUGCGCAGGCGGUUAUAUAAGACAGAUGUGAAAUCCCCGGGCUCAACCUGGGAACUGCAUUUGUGACUGUAUAGCUAGAGUACGGCAGAGGGGGAUGGAAUUCCGCGUGUAGCAGUGAAAUGCGUAUAUAUGCGUAGGAACACCGAUGGCGAAGGCAAUCCCCUGGGCCUGUACUGACGCUCAUGCACGAAAGCGUGGGGAGCAAACAGGAUUAGAUACCCGCGUAGUCCCUGUCUCUUAUAA
This 301-nucleotide ribosomal RNA is filed under the name uncultured bacterium. RNAcentral describes it as "partial 16S ribosomal RNA". It matches the Rfam family "Bacterial small subunit ribosomal RNA", at positions 509 to 809 of the family's 1533-position model. The record is from RNAcentral.